This 482-nucleotide ribosomal RNA is filed under the name uncultured bacterium. Its description in RNAcentral is "partial 16S ribosomal RNA". It matches the Rfam family "Bacterial small subunit ribosomal RNA", at positions 30 to 507 of the family's 1533-position model. The record is from RNAcentral.
AUUGAACGCUGGCGGCAUGCUUUACACAUGCAAGUCGAACGGUAACAGGCCGCAAGGUGCUGACGAGUGGCGGACGGGUGAGUAAUGCAUCGGAACGUGCCCAGUCGUGGGGGAUAACUACUCGAAAGAGUAGCUAAUACCGCAUACGAUCUAUGGAUGAAAGCGGGGGACCGUAAGGCCUCGCGCGAUUGGAGCGGCCGAUGUCAGAUUAGGUAGUUGGUGGGGUAAAGGCUCACCAAGCCAACGAUCUGUAGCUGGUCUGAGAGGACGACCAGCCACACUGGGACUGAGACACGGCCCAGACUCCUACGGGAGGCAGCAGUGGGGAAUUUUGGACAAUGGGCGCAAGCCUGAUCCAGCAAUGCCGCGUGCAGGAAGAAGGCCUUCGGGUUGUAAACUGCUUUUGUACGGAACGAAACGGCUCUGGUUAAUACCCGGGGCUAAUGACGGUACCGUAAGAAUAAGCGCCGGCUAACUACGUG